Molecule: ribosomal RNA, 787 nt
Filed under: Actinomycetes bacterium
Lineage: Bacteria; Bacillati; Actinomycetota; Actinomycetes
Description: bacterial SSU rRNA
Rfam family: Bacterial small subunit ribosomal RNA
Source: RNAcentral
ACCACUUCGGUGGGGAUUAGUGGCGAACGGGUGAGUAACACGUGGGCAAUCUGCCCUUCACUCUGGGACAAGCCCUGGAAACGGGGUCUAAUACCGGAUACCACUCUCGCAGGCAUCUGUGAGGGUUGAAAGCUCCGGCGGUGAAGGAUGAGCCCGCGGCCUAUCAGCUUGUUGGUGAGGUAAUGGCUCACCAAGGCGACGACGGGUAGCCGGCCUGAGAGGGCGACCGGCCACACUGGGACUGAGACACGGCCCAGACUCCUACGGGAGGCAGCAGUGGGGAAUAUUGCACAAUGGGCGAAAGCCUGAUGCAGCGACGCCGCGUGAGGGAUGACGGCCUUCGGGUUGUAAACCUCUUUCAGCAGGGAAGAAGCGAAAGUGACGGUACCUGCAGAAGAAGCGCCGGCUAACUACGUGCCAGCAGCCGCGGUAAUACGUAGGGCGCAAGCGUUGUCCGGAAUUAUUGGGCGUAAAGAGCUCGUAGGCGGCUUGUCACGUCGGGUGUGAAAGCCCGGGGCUUAACCCCGGGUCUGCAUUCGAUACGGGCUAGCUAGAGUGUGGUAGGGGAGAUCGGAAUUCCUGGUGUAGCGGUGAAAUGCGCAGAUAUCAGGAGGAACACCGGUGGCGAAGGCGGAUCUCUGGGCCAUUACUGACGCUGAGGAGCGAAAGCGUGGGGAGCGAACAGGAUUAGAUACCCUGGUAGUCCACGCCGUAAACGGUGGGAACUAGGUGUUGGCGACAUUCCACGUCGUCGGUGCCGCAGCUAACGCAUUAAGUUCCCCGCCUG